Molecule: ribosomal RNA, 428 nt
Filed under: uncultured Oxalobacteraceae bacterium
Lineage: Bacteria; Pseudomonadati; Pseudomonadota; Betaproteobacteria; Burkholderiales; Oxalobacteraceae
Description: bacterial SSU rRNA
Rfam family: Bacterial small subunit ribosomal RNA
Source: RNAcentral
UGGGGAAUUUUGGACAAUGGGGGCAACCCUGAUCCAGCCAUGCCGCGUGUGUGAAGAAGGCCUUCGGGUUGUAAAGCACUUUCGGACGGAACGAAAUCGCGCGAUCUAAUAAGCCGCGUGGAUGACGGUACCGUAAGAAUAAGCACCGGCUAACUACGUGCCAGCAGCCGCGGUAAUACGUAGGGUGCAAGCGUUAAUCGGAAUUACUGGGCGUAAAGCGUGCGCAGGCGGUUUUGUAAGUCUGACGUGAAAUCCCCGGGCUCAACCUGGGAAUUGCGUUGGAGACUGCAAGGCUGGAGUCUGGCAGAGGGGGGUAGAAUUCCACGUGUAGCAGUGAAAUGCGUAGAGAUGUGGAGGAACACCGAUGGCGAAGGCAGCCCCCUGGGCUCAAGACUGACGCUCAUGCACGAAAGCGUGGGGAGCAAACA